This 464-nucleotide ribosomal RNA is filed under the name uncultured bacterium. Its description in RNAcentral is "partial 16S ribosomal RNA". It matches the Rfam family "Bacterial small subunit ribosomal RNA", at positions 29 to 507 of the family's 1533-position model. The record is from RNAcentral.
ACGAACGCUGGCGGCGUGCUUAACACAUGCAAGUCGAACGGAAAGGCCCUGCUUUCAGGGUACUCGAGUGGCGAACGGGUGAGUAACACGUGGGUGAUCUGCCCUGCACUUCGGGAUAAGCCUGGGAAACUGGGUCUAAUACCGGAUAGGAGCCAUUUUUAGUGUGAUGGUUGGAAAGUUUUUUCGGUGUAGGAUGAGCUCGCGGCCUAUCAGCUUGUUGGUGGGGUAAUGGCCUACCAAGGCGGCGACGGGUAGCCGGCCUGAGAGGGUGGACGGCCACAUUGGGACUGAGAUACGGCCCAGACUCCUACGGGAGGCAGCAGUGGGGAAUAUUGCACAAUGGGCGCAAGCCUGAUGCAGCGACGCCGCGUGGGGGAUGACGGCCUUCGGGUUGUAAACUCCUUUCGCUAGGGACGAAGCUUUUUGUGACGGUACCUAGAUAAGAAGCACCGGCUAACUACGUG